GGAGGGGUGGCAGAGCGGUCGAAUGCACCGGUCUUGAAAACCGGAGACGGGCGACCCCCGUCCGCGGGUUCGAAUCCCGCCCCCUCCG
Molecule: transfer RNA, 88 nt
Filed under: Actinomycetota bacterium
Lineage: Bacteria; Bacillati; Actinomycetota
Description: tRNA-Ser
Rfam family: tRNA
About the family: Transfer RNA (tRNA) molecules are approximately 80 nucleotides in length. Their secondary structure includes four short double-helical elements and three loops (D, anti-codon, and T loops).
Source: RNAcentral